UACGUAGGGUGCGAGCGUUAAUCGGAAUUACUGGGCGUAAAGCGUGCGCAGGCGGCGUUGCAAGACAGAUGUGAAAUCCCCGGGCUCAACCUGGGGACUGCAUUUGUGACUGCAAGGCUAGAGUACGGCAGAGGGGGAUGGAAUUCCGCGUGUAGCAGUGAAAUGCGUAGAUAUGCGGAGGAACACCAAUGGCGAAGGCAAUCCCCUGGGCCUGCACUGACGCUCAUGCACGAAAGCGUGGGGAGCAAACAGG
Molecule: ribosomal RNA, 253 nt
Filed under: uncultured bacterium
Lineage: Bacteria
Description: partial 16S ribosomal RNA
Rfam family: Bacterial small subunit ribosomal RNA
Source: RNAcentral